UUGAAAGGGAAACGAUUGAAGUCAGUCGUACCGACGAGUAAUCAACUUUUUGAGUGUGAUUUUGUGGCUCAUGUAGAGCUUAACGGCCUUCGUGUUUGCAAAUUCGUUCUCUUGGGGUGCAUUUAUUCGUAUGGUAGGUUAACAUCAAUUUUGAUCGUUAUAAAAUGAUUGGGGGAAUGUAGCUUCGAUCUUGUAUUGAAGUGUUAUAGCCCCUGGUAGAUGUAAUGAUCGGGAUUGAGGAUUGCAACGGAUACCCUUCGGGCUAUUCGUCUGAUCUCUGGAAGUUACCUUGGUGUUGAAAGCUUGCUUACGACAUUUAGGUUGGCGUCCAAAGGGUUAGAACGAAAUUAAAUUCGUUAAGGAUGUUGACGUAAUGGCUUCAAACGACCCGUCUUGAAACACGGACCA
This 408-nucleotide ribosomal RNA is filed under the name Glomeromycotina sp. RNAcentral describes it as "partial large subunit ribosomal RNA". The record is from RNAcentral. Lineage: Eukaryota; Fungi; Glomeromycota.